CACGUAGGGCGCAAGCGUUGUCCGGAAUUAUUGGGCGUAAAGAGCUCGUAGGCGGUCUGUUGCGUCCGCUGUGAAAACUCGAGGCUCAACCUCGAGACGCCGGUGGAAACCAUCAGACUAGAGUCCGGAAGAGGAGAGUGGAAUUCCUGGUGUAGCGGUGAAAUGCGCAGAUAUCAGGAAGAACACCCGUGGCUAAGGCGGCUCUCUAGUACGGUACUGACGCUGAGACGCGAAAGCGUGGGGAGCGAACAGG
Molecule: ribosomal RNA, 253 nt
Filed under: uncultured bacterium
Lineage: Bacteria
Description: partial 16S ribosomal RNA
Rfam family: Bacterial small subunit ribosomal RNA
Source: RNAcentral